AACGAGGCGAACCGGGGGAACUGAAACAUCUAAGUACCCCGAGGAAAAGAAAUCAACCGAGAUUCCCCCAGUAGCGGCGAGCGAACGGGGAGCAGCCCGGAGUCUGAAUCAGCUUGUGUGUUAGUGGAAGCGUCUGGAAAGUCGCAGGGUACAGGGUGAUACUCCCGUACACUAAAACACACAGGUUGUGAACUCGAAGAGUAGGGCGGGACACGUGGUAUCCUGUCUGAAUAUGGGGGGACCAUCCUCCAAGGCUAAAUACUCCUGACUGACCGAUAGUGAACCAGUACCGUGAGGGAAAGGCGAAAAGAACCCCGGCGAGGGGAGUGAAAAAGAACCUGAAACCGUGUACGUACAAGCAGUAGGAGCCCACUUGUUGGGUGACUGCGUACCUUUUGUAUAAUGGGUCAGCGACUUAUAUUCUGUAGCAAGGUUAACCGUAUAGGGGAGCCGCAGGGAAACCGAGUCUUAACUGGGCGUUAAGUUGCAGGGUAUAGACCCGAAACCCGGUGAUCUAGCCAUGGGCAGGUUGAAGGUUGGGUAACACUAACUGGAGGACCGAACCGACUAAUGUUGAAAAAUUAGCGGAUGACUUGUGGCUGGGGGUGAAAGGCCAAUCAAACCGGGAGAUAGCUGGUUCUCCCCGAAAGCUAUUUAGGUAGCGCCUCGUGAACUCAUCUUCGGGGGUAGAGCACUGUUUCGGCUAGGGGGUCAUCCCGACUUACCAACCCGAUGCAAACUACGAAUACCGAAGAAUGUUAUCACGGGAGACACACGGCGGGUGCUAACGUCCGUCGUGAAGAGGGAAACAACCCAGACCGCCAGCUAAGGUCCCAAAGUCAUGGUUAAGUGGGAAACGAUGUGGGAAGGCCCAGACAGCCAGGAUGUUGGCUUAGAAGCAGCCAUCAUUUAAAGAAAGCGUAAUAGCUCACUGGUCGAGUCGGCCUGCGCGGAAGAUGUAACGGGGCUAAACCAUGCACCGAAGCUGCGGCAGCGACACUAUGUGUUGUUGGGUAGGGGAGCGUUCUGUAAGCCGUUGAAGGUGGCCUGUGAGGGUUGCUGGAGGUAUCAGAAGUGCGAAUGCUGACAUAAGUAACGAUAAUGCGGGUGAAAAACCCGCACGCCGGAAGACCAAGGGUUCCUGUCCAACGUUAAUCGGGGCAGGGUGAGUCGACCCCUAAGGCGAGGCCGAAAGGCGUAGUCGAUGGGAAACAGGUUAAUAUUCCUGUACUCGGUGUUACUGCGAAGGGGGGACGGAGAAGGCUAUGUUGGCCGGGCGACGGUUGUCCCGGUUUAAGCAUGUAGGCGGAUGUUCCAGGUAAAUCCGGAACGUCACUAACGCUGAGGUGUGAUGACGAGGCACUACGGUGCUGAAGUGACAAAUGCCCUGCUUCCAGGAAAAGCCUCUAAGCAUCAGGUAACAUCAAAUCGUACCCCAAACCGACACAGGUGGUCAGGUAGAGAAUACCAAGGCGCUUGAGAGAACUCGGGUGAAGGAACUAGGCAAAAUGGUGCCGUAACUUCGGGAGAAGGCACGCUGAUGGUAGGUGAAGCGACUUGCUCGUGGAGCUGAAAUCAGUCGAAGAUACCAGCUGGCUGCAACUGUUUAUUAAAAACACAGCACUGUGCAAACACGAAAGUGGACGUAUACGGUGUGACGCCUGCCCGGUGCCGGAAGGUUAAUUGAUGGGGUUAUCCGUAAGGAGAAGCUCUUGAUCGAAGCCCCGGUAAACGGCGGCCGUAACUAUAACGGUCCUAAGGUAGCGAAAUUCCUUGUCGGGUAAGUUCCGACCUGCACGAAUGGCGUAAUGAUGGCCAGGCUGUCUCCACCCGAGACUCAGUGAAAUUGAACUCGCUGUGAAGAUGCAGUGUACCCGCGGCAAGACGGAAAGACCCCGUGAACCUUUACUAUAGCUUGACACUGAACACUGGUCCUUGAUGUGUAGGAUAGGUGGGAGGCUUUGAAGUGUGGACGCCAGUCUGCAUGGAGCCAUCCUUGAAAUACCACCCUUUAAUGGCUGGUGUUCUAACGUGGGCCCCUGAUCGGGGUUGCGGACAGUGUCUGGUGGGUAGUUUGACUGGGGCGGUCUCCUCCUAAAGAGUAACGGAGGAGCACGAAGGUCAGCUAAUCCUGGUCGGACAUCAGGAGGUUAGUGCAAUGGCAUAAGCUGGCUUGACUGCGAGCGUGACGGCGCGAGCAGGUGCGAAAGCAGGUCAUAGUGAUCCGGUGGUUCUGAAUGGAAGGGCCAUCGCUCAACGGAUAAAAGGUACUCCGGGGAUAACAGGCUGAUACCGCCCAAGAGUUCAUAUCGACGGCGGUGUUUGGCACCUCGAUGUCGGCUCAUCACAUCCUGGGGCUGAAGUAGGUCCCAAGGGUAUGGCUGUUCGCCAUUUAAAGUGGUACGCGAGCUGGGUUUAGAACGUCGUGAGACAGUUCGGUCCCUAUCUGCCGUGGGCGCUGGAGAAUUGAGGGGGGCUGCUCCUAGUACGAGAGGACCGGAGUGGACGCAUCACUGGUGUUCGGGUUGUCAUGCCAAUGGCAUUGCCCGGUAGCUAAAUGCGGAAGAGAUAAGUGCUGAAAGCAUCUAAGCACGAAACUUGCCCCGAGAUGAGUUCUCCCUGAC
This 2624-nucleotide ribosomal RNA is filed under the name Klebsiella michiganensis. RNAcentral's name for it is "partial 23S ribosomal RNA". It matches the Rfam family "Bacterial large subunit ribosomal RNA". The record is from RNAcentral. Lineage: Bacteria; Pseudomonadati; Pseudomonadota; Gammaproteobacteria; Enterobacterales; Enterobacteriaceae.